UGUAGGGUGAUCCUAUGCUGCCAAGAAAAUCUUCUAGCGAGGUUCGAGCCGCCCGUACCCCAAACCGACUCAGGUGGUUAGGUAGAGAAUACCAAGGCGAUCGAGUGAAUCGUGGUUAAGGAAUUCGGCAAAAUGCCCCCGUAACUUCGGGAGAAGGGGGGCCCAGACUCUGAAGUCACUUGCUGACUAGGGGAAAGGGCCGCAGAGACCAGGGAGAAGCGACUGUUUACUAAAAACACAGGUCCGUGCGAAGUCGCAAGACGAUGUAUACGGACUGACGCCUGCCCGGUGCUGGAAGGUUAAGAGGACGGGUUAGAUCUUCGGGUCGAAGCUCAGAAUUUAAGCCCCAGUAAACGGCGGUGGUAACUAUAACCAUCCUAAGGUAGCGAAAUUCCUUGUCGGGUAAGUUCCGACCUGCACGAAUGGCGUAACGACUUCUCCACUGUCUCAACCGCGAACUCGGCGAAAUUGCACUACGGGUAAAGAUGCUCGUUACGCGCAGCAGGACGGAAAGACCCCGGGACCUUCACUAUAGCUUGGUAUUGGUGUUCGGGACGGCUUGUGUAGGAUAGGUGGGAGACUUUGAAGCCGGCACGCCAGUGUCGGUGGAGUCAACGUUGAAAUACCACUCUGGUCGUUCUGGAUGUCUAACCUCGGUCCGUGAUCCGGAUCAGGGACAGUGCCUGGUGGGUAGUUUAACUGGGGCGGUUGCCUCCUAAAAGGUAACGGAGGCGCUCAAAGGUUCCCUCAGCCUGGUUGGCAAUCAGGUGUCGAGUGUAAGUGCACAAGGGAGCUUGACUGCGAGAGAGACAUCUCGAGCAGGGACGAAAGUCGGAACUAGUGACCCGGCGGUGGCUUGUGGAAGCGCCGUCGCUCAACGGAUAAAAGGUACCCCGGGGAUAACAGGCUGAUCUUGCCCAAGAGUCCAUAUCGACGGCAUGGUUUGGCACCUCGAUGUCGGCUCGUCGCAUCCUGGGGGUGGAGUCGCUCCCAAGGGUUGGGCUGUUCGCCCAUUAAAGCGGUACGCGAGCUGGGUUUAGAACGUCGUGAGACAGUUCGGUCCCUAUCCGCUGUGCGCGUAGGAAACUUGAGAAAGGCUGACCCUAGUACGAGAGGACCGGGUUGGACGAACCUCUGGUGUGUCAGUUGUUCUGCCAAGAGCACCGCUGAUUAGCUACGUUCGGAAGUGAUAACCGCUGAAAGCAUCUAAGCGGGAAGCACGUUUCAAGAUGAGGUUUC
RNAcentral lists this ribosomal RNA (1239 nucleotides) under metagenome. RNAcentral's name for it is "bacterial LSU rRNA". It matches the Rfam family "Bacterial large subunit ribosomal RNA", at positions 1588 to 2813 of the family's 2925-position model. The record is from RNAcentral.